CGUAAUGAUCGAGCGCCUGCUUGAGCCCCUGCGUCUUCCACACGUCGGUGUGCACGGCCGAGCCGUGCGUGAACGGAUCGAUGCCGUUCGCGACGCC
This 97-nucleotide transfer RNA is filed under the name Burkholderia cenocepacia. Its description in RNAcentral is "tRNA-Gly". Lineage: Bacteria; Pseudomonadati; Pseudomonadota; Betaproteobacteria; Burkholderiales; Burkholderiaceae. The record is from RNAcentral.